This 253-nucleotide ribosomal RNA is filed under the name uncultured bacterium. RNAcentral describes it as "partial 16S ribosomal RNA". It matches the Rfam family "Bacterial small subunit ribosomal RNA", at positions 524 to 776 of the family's 1533-position model. The record is from RNAcentral.
UACGGAGGGUGCAAGCGUUGUUCGGAAUUACUGGGCGUAAAGCGGGUGUAGGCGGUCGGGCAAGUCGGAUGUGAAAGCCCUUGGCUCAACUGAGGAAGUGCAUUCGAAACUGCUCGACUUGAGUAUGGGAGAGGAAGGUGGAAUUCUCGGUGUAGCGGUGACAUGCGUAGAUAUCGGGAGGAACACCGGUGGCGAAGGCGGCCUUCUGGCCCAAUACUGACGCUGAGACCCGAAAGCGUGGGGAGCAAACAGG